This 851-nucleotide long non-coding RNA is filed under the name Mytilus galloprovincialis (Mediterranean mussel). Lineage: Eukaryota; Metazoa; Mollusca; Bivalvia; Mytilida; Mytilidae. The record is from RNAcentral.
AAUAAUUCAUAUUAUGCAUACACAAGACACAUACAAAUUAUUUAAAAGAUUUACCAUGCAGUUCUAAUACACAUUUUUAAAUAUGCACACAUAAGGUAAAGCACACAAGAAAAAAAUAAUGGUUUGCAGCAUAAAACAUAGGAUUAGUCAAAAACUUAAUAAGAAAAAGAUAACAAAAAGUAAAAUCACAAAAAUACUGAACCCGGAGGAAAAUUCAAAAAGGAAAGUCCCUAAUUAAAUUUCAAAAUCAAAAGCUCAAACACAUCAAACGAAUGGAUUAUAACAACUGUCAUAUCCCUGACUUUGUAUAGGCUUUUUCCUCUGUAGAAAAUGGUGGCUUGAACCUGGCUUUAUAGCUAGCUAAACCUCUCACAUUUAUGACAGUCGCAUCAAAUUCCAUUAUAUUGACAACGAUGCGUGAACAAAACAAACAGACACAAUAGGUAAACAUGUCAAAAUUGAGGUACAGUAGGCGACAUUGUGUUAUCAUCUUAAUCACUAUAAAAACAAACCAAUGUUACAAGGAAGCACAAAAAGGCAUAACCUAAUUUUGCGUAUGCGAUUUUAUUUAUAUAUGUUCAAAAGGACUCUAAGUAUACAGUUGCCCAACUGAAAUUCAAACAAUGAAAACCGACAUACACGUAAACAUGAUCAGGAUUAAUCAACUGGUUUUGCAAUUCAAUUCAAUUUCAAUAAUCAAAGUUUGUUAAAAUUUUAAUUACGCUCUUUGAAUGUCUUUAUCUGUGUGAGACAGUCGUCUAUAUAGUUAUAUUGAUUGAUUGAUUAGUUUUGACACCCUUUCAGCACGUUCGGCAACCAAGGCCUCUGUCUAGUUAUAAAAUUAUUUUUUG